GGCCGAGUAGCUCAGUUGGUAGAGCAGGGGACUGAAAAUCCCCGUGUCGGCGGUUCGAUUCCGUCCUCGGCCACCA
Molecule: transfer RNA, 76 nt
Filed under: Nevskia sp.
Lineage: Bacteria; Pseudomonadati; Pseudomonadota; Gammaproteobacteria; Nevskiales; Nevskiaceae
Description: tRNA-Phe
Rfam family: tRNA
About the family: Transfer RNA (tRNA) molecules are approximately 80 nucleotides in length. Their secondary structure includes four short double-helical elements and three loops (D, anti-codon, and T loops).
Source: RNAcentral